This 463-nucleotide ribosomal RNA is filed under the name uncultured bacterium. RNAcentral's name for it is "partial 16S ribosomal RNA". It matches the Rfam family "Bacterial small subunit ribosomal RNA", at positions 28 to 507 of the family's 1533-position model. The record is from RNAcentral.
GAUGAACGCUGACAGAAUGCUUAACACAUGCAAGUCUUUGGCAAAGCUGUGCUCGCACAGCCUAGCCAAGGCGGACGGGUGAGUAACGCGUAAGGAACUUGCCCUGCAGUCAGGGAUAACAGACGGAAACGACUGAUAAGACCUGGUAAAGUCAGGCGGACUCAUGUCCAGCCUGAUGAAAAGAGAUGCUGCAGGAGAGCCUUGCGUCCUAUUAGCUUGUUGGUGGGGUAACGGCCCACCAAGGCGAUGAUAGGUAGCCGGCCUGAGAGGAUGGACGGCCACAAGGGGACGGAGAUACGGCCCUUACUCCUACGGGAGGCAGCAGUGGUGAAGAUUGGACCAUGGGGGCAACCCUGAUCCAGCAAUUCUGUGUGCACGAUGAAGGUUUUCGGAUUGUAAAGUGCUUUCAGCAGGGAAGAAAAAAAUGACGGUACCUGCAGAAGAAGCGACGGCUAAAUACGUG